This 27825-nucleotide long non-coding RNA is filed under the name Ananas comosus (pineapple). RNAcentral's name for it is "long non-coding RNA (ACOM_LNC031892)". Lineage: Eukaryota; Viridiplantae; Streptophyta; Magnoliopsida; Poales; Bromeliaceae. The record is from RNAcentral.
AAAUAAUAAAUAGUUUGAAUCCAUGAAAAUUAAGAUCUUCAGAAAACUUCAUAUAUCCUCUAUGGUUUACUACUAAUUUUUUUUCAUAUCAUAUUGUUUUAACUAUAUCAUUUAAGUAUCAUGUAAUUUUUGUUUUUUUUUUUUUUUUACACACUUCGUUAAAUUAUCGUUAAAAUAAUCACAUGUUUUUUUAUUUACAUAUAUAUUUAAAAUAUCAUUAUAUAUAUAUAUAUAUAUAUAAAAAAUAUUAUAUUAGAUUAUAAUUACAAAAUAAAAAAAUAAAAUUUUAAAUUAAAAAUAGUGCACUGGGUGCAUCACUAAAAAAAGUAACCCGACUCCACCCCCUGCUGGGAGAUCAACGGAGGCCAUGGGCCCACGUGGCUCCGGUGCCACACGGCGCCCAUCCGGGAUUGUCCCCAAACAAAAAUUGUUUGGGCCAUUCCCCGUAUAAUUUUUGUCCAACCAGAAAAGCACACGUAUUCUAAACGUCAUUAUCAGAUGAAUUACAAUUUAAAUCCCCGGAUAAAAUCGCAUUAUGAUAUGAUGAUGAUAUAUAUUAUUUUAAAAAAGCGUUGACUAGAUAAAUCCGUUGACAAUUACCGCGCCUAUUAAAGCACUCCAUUGAACGAACAAAACGAACCAUCCCGAAUCAUACUCUUCAACCUGCUCAAACCCUCCCCUCUCUCUCUCUCUCUCUCUCUCUCUCUCUCUCUCUCUCCAUUUUUUUUCGAUCUCUUUCGCUCCUCCGCGUAUUGAGUAGCCAUGGGGGCUUGCGAUCGCAAUCGCUUCUUCGAGUUCUUCGUUGAGUAGAGAACUCGAUCGAUUUCGAAGAAGAAGAAGAAGAAGAGGAAGAGGAAUAGGGGUCUCUUCACUGAUUCGGCUCAAUUUCGCUUCGUUUCUCCUCUCCUUGGUCGAGUAAGAUCGUUAAUGGCGAUGGAUGAGGAGAAGGAGAACAACCGUACGGGUGAUCCGGAGCACGGACACGGGCGAAAUCAGCAACAGCAUCAGCAGCAGCAUAAGCUUGAUGUGUACCAUGAGGUCGUUCGUCGACUUAGGGCAUCGAAUGUGCCCGAGGCGCUCACCCCCGCCUUUGAGGAUGAGCUUUGGGCUCAUUUCAACAGCCUCCCUGCGCGGUAGAUUCCUCUCUCUCCAUGUUUUCACUCUUUCUGAUGGAAGAUUCCCAUUUUUACCUUGUGAUUGGGUGAUUUCGAUUGCUAGAUUAGUGGUUUCAAUUCGUAGAUGUCGUUAUCUCUGCAUUCGUUCUGAUGCUGUUGCAACUUGCAAGUAGAGCAAAGAACAAAGAAAAAACUCUGAUGAGGAAAUAAUGGUCAAUAGAUGUGGAAUUUGCUUUUAGGAUUAUGAUGCUUGGAAUUUAGAGUUUAUGAUUGAUGUUUUUGAUCAUCUGUUUAAGCCGCAAAAAAACUGAUUGGUUGAAUGAGUUUGUUGAUCGGUAUAUGCCUGUCUUGUUUGUUUGCUCAGGGCCUGACCUUUGAUUUUGUUCUGUUCCUCAUUCGAUUGCUGUUGUAGAUACGCACUUGAUGUGAAUGUUGAGAGGGCAGAAGAUGUUCUAAUGCAUAAGAAGUUGCUGGGGCUGGCUCGCGAUCCUCCUAACCAGCUAGCUUUCUGGGUGCGGAUAAUUCAGGUAAAGGAUUUCAUAAUGCUCUUCAUCUUCUUGCAUGUCGAUUCGUGAAGGCUUGGUUGAUUUUCAUUUAAUUCAUGCAAUAUUUCUAUAUUUGGGCAAAACUUUUUUUUUUAAUUUUUUUUAUCUUUUUUAAUCUAGGAUUUAUUACAAUUCACUUACCUGUAAAAGCUGUCGAAAUGAGAUGCUUUUGAAAUAAUACAGUUUGCCGACUUGUUUAAUUCUUGUCUGUUAUGGUACAACAGUUGCUGUUCACUAUAUACGAGUUUCUACCUUGCUAGUGCUACCUGGCUCUAGUUUCUAUUUGGUGCAGUUUGUAUUUUGGUCGAGGCAAGCGGUCUCUCCUGGCUUUUGUGGAUGAUGUUCCUUUGCUAACAACUCUCAGUAAAUCUGAAGGAAUAAUUGUGGUGGAAUUCUCAUUAAGCCUUUUCUUUUGUUGGUUGAAUCACCUCAUCAACCUACCAAACAACCUUCAUUGAAUAGUUUCAAUUAGAUUACUAAUUUGGCAAAUUAUGCAAACUUAUAUUCUAUCUGUCCCGUUAUUCGAUGUAAUGAAAUAAAUUAUUUUUUUACGGUUAUUUUUAUUUUCAUAUCUUAUACACAUGGAGGUUUCAUUUUCAUUAUUCCGAUUCAAUAUUCUGCUAUCUCAUGAAUUGUCUUUAGUUUUAGUUCAGUUUUGUGCUUUGACAUUCUCAUUCUUUUUCUUUCUCCUUUAGUUGAACUUAACAUGGGCUAGUCCACGUUGAUAACGUUGCAUUUUAUGCAUUACCUCGCAGUAAUAUUUUUCUUCUUUAGGUAUCUUCAGUUUUCGAUGAAGAUCAGGAUGAAUCUUUUGUUUCCAACACAAUGGGCAAAAAAGUUUCUUCUGCUUUAAUGAGAAAACAAAGGUGUGCUUGCUUCUUUUGUCAUUUAAAUGAUGUUUCUAACUGUCCAAUUUUUGGUUCUCACACCUUCAAAGUUAUUUGUUUACUGUUUCUCAUAACUUUUCUUUUUUCAUAAUUUGUCUUCUAUUUCCCUCAGCAUUCAUGCACCUCCUGCUUUUGGUUCAUCUAUGAACCUUGAGGCUCUUUCUCUUGAAGCCGACAAAUCUGGUGACCAAGAUGAUGAUAGUGUUGUAGAUUCUGUUCAACAUAAUGCCAGGUUAUGCUUGUUUCUCGGCUGUCUUUGUGUCUGCAAUUAGUUAUUGCCCCUAUAAUAGUAUGUUAAUCCAAGAUGAAGUCAUGAAAUAAAUUAUUCGGUAGUAAUGUUGCAAUAUAUUUGGAAUCCUAUCUCAUUUAAAACUAAAUAAUUAUUGUUGAAUUGUAAGCACUACUAUUAGCGAUUUCUGGAUGAAAUGAAUAUGAAGAGCUGCCCCGACAGUAUUUGAUUUCUGUUUUCUUCUAAUUUGCGUCACGAAGACAUAAAUUUUUAACUUUAGAAUUUAAGUAUUUUGAUGUCUUGUAAUCCUGGGUGCCUUUGUGUCUCAUUUUCUUUUAAAAAGCUACAUUUUGGUAGCAGAAGGAAAUCUUUGUUUAGUUUGAAUUUUACUUGGUUUGAUUUUUCAAAGCCGUUAGAGUCUCAUGACAGGAUUAUUGUAUACACUACUGACAUACCUCUAGUUGAUUUUGUUGAAAAGUAGGAUAGUAGAUCCUUAGGAAUUGGAUUCUUUGUCCUUAAAUUGCAUCCUAUAUGUAGCAUCAAAAAAAAAAAAAAGCCAGUCAGCCAUGAAUUUGUACCCCAAUCGUAUAUUCUAUUGUUGUUCUUUGGUCUUGAUAGAUUAGUCAACACUAGAUCCAUUUUCCGAAUGAACAGAAUUUUAUGGGCAGAACCUUACGGACAAUAAAACAAAAACUUCUAAUUCAACUGCGUUGUUUGUUCUAUAGUUGCUGAGACUAUUUGUUCUGUUAAUCUGGCUGCUCUGCUGGUUGGACUCGCUGAAAUCCUUUGCGGCUAAUGGAAUAUGAUCUGGAGCCAUAUCCCCUUUUUGUGUCUAUUUAUCAUUUAGAGUGACUGAGUUUCUUUCCUUUUAUCUUCAUGUAUGUCUGUUCCUUCUGUAGUCAACCACUGAGGAGUCUUUGUUCUGCUGAUAAGAAGUCCCUACGUCUUAAUUGUUUGAAAUUUGUUAAAUUUGUCGAUUACAAGUUCAGUAGUUCUCCCAAAGAGUUGGAUUUUGUUUUCUCUCUUUUCCUAUUUAUAGUACAUCUUCACCUGUGAGCCAUGGGACAAUUAAUAGUAACACUCGUCAUCCGUUUUAUUAAGUUGCUUUUGUUAUUUCUGCAUUUGUUUUCCUUCAAGCUUAUUUUAAACUCCAUACAUUCUGCUUCUUUAUACUUGGUGUUCAAUCUGUAAGUGCCGCAUAUAAUGCCGAAUUGUAUGAUCUUUCAGGCCUAUUCAUGAAAUCACUUUCGCAUCGCUGGACAAGCCAAAGCUUCUUAGUGAGGUAUAACUCAAGUCAUCUUCUCAAGACAUGUUUGAAUUUGAAUUAUCAUUUCAUAGACAACAUCAAAGUCUUAUUGAGCUAUUCCAAACAAGAGAUUCGACAUUUCUAGCAUCCAUUCAAGACCUUGCCAAAACCGUCAUGGCCCAAUUAUGUAUAGGCCGUACCAAGCCAAUAGCGAAUAACAAACUCUUCCUUGCUCCCUCGACCUUAAUUAACUCCCAUCCUGCCAAGCCUCAGCUGCCAGGGCAUGAAUCAAGUGGAAUGAAGUGUCGCUUCGGGAAACAUCGUUAUGGCAGAUUUACCUUCUCAACAAACAACAAGACCUAGCCCCUUCUAGAUCAUCUGCAGAGACACUGGAACAAGGCAAGACCAAACCUCCCCUCUAUGAUGUAUGAUGGGGAGGCCUGGAUGGAAUGAAGUGGAUGUAUUCGCUGUGGAAGAGAUAGAGACAGGAUUUGAGAAUGAUAAACUAGAGCAGAACAGUAUCUAUCCUAAAGUACUGAUCCCUCCGAAUGAAAGGAAAGCUCUUUUCUUUGGAAACCAUGGCGCAGAGCACUGAUCGUGAUUACUGUUGCCUUGAGGCAGAUUCAUUAAUAAUUUUGUUAUCACCGGGGUUUUCGAUAUUAAGAAUUAGCUAAUUCAAGUUGAAAGUUAGCUUGGGUUGUAGCCCCGAGGAGAGGCAGAGAGAGAGUAAAAAGAAAACGUAAAAAUUGAGAAGGAACAAACAAUAACUAGAAAGCACAAAGAAAAAUGAAAUGAAGACGCAUCAGAAUUAGAUGAAGAACACAAUGAACCAGUAAAAAAUAGGUAAGGGAAAUAUAUAGGAAAUUAAACUGAAAAAUGAAGCUUAAAGAAAUAAGGAUCAGGAUGGAUUGAAAGAAAGUAUUAAAGAAAGAACAUAGAGAACUAUAUGAAAAGUUUUCCGCCUCCCUUAUCUAGCUAGACUUAGUUCGUGUGGGAAAUAAAUAAUGUUUAUACACAGUUAUGUACAAGAAAUACUAGAAAUUUCUCCUAUGAGGAACUUCAAAUAUGUUUUUCAUGAUCUCAGCUUUUGUAUUAGCAAAUCCAGCCUCUGGCUUCUAAAGGGUCAUGCAGAAUUCUUAUUAUUCCACUCUAUGUAGAUUUGCAGAUCGUCUUUUCGUGUCGUCUUUUUUCAUGAAGAUUUCUGAUGACAUCCUUAAUUUGAUAUUUCAGCUGACUUCUCUGCUUGGAGAGAUUGGACUUGAUAUUGAGGAAGCUCAUGCCUUCUCAACAAAUGAUGGUUACUCACUAGAUGUUUUUGUGGUUGUUGGCUGGCAUUAUGAGGUACUUCCUAGGUCCUUCGAUUUGUCAUUUCUCAUUUGUUUAUGGCAUUACUCUGGGUCCUGUUACAUUUUCUCUUUACUUUAUCACGAGUGCGGUGAUAAGUCUGACAUGCCGUAUUUUGUGCAUGUUACAAAAUAUUGCUACUAUGUGCAAAUUUUGCAUAUAAAAUAUAACUGCAAAAUGAAUUUGCAUUAUGAUUGUGUGCUUUCUGCUUUAGUUAUUUGAGCAAGUAUGCCAGCAAUGUGGUGUACUGAAGUGAUGUUCAUCAGAAACUUAUCAUUGCACUUGUGCACGUAAAGAAGAUUGAAAGAAGGACUUUUCAAUCUGAACACAAAAUGUUUUCAGCUUACCAGCAACACAAGUUAGCUUGUCUUUUAGGGUUUUGUACGUUGUUUGUUGCAUAAAUGCAUACAUGAAUAUAUCAAAUGCAGUGCUAAGAAGCUACGAAUAGUAAGUUUAUCUUUUCAUUCUUUCAAGCUCUCUCCUUGAUGAGUAGAGAACAAAUCAAUUUGAGCUAGUUGAUUAUUAAAAAAAAUACAAAGGUUUAUCAAUAACUUUAAGGUCACUUUAUCAAAUUUAAAAUGUGUGUUGCCACUUGUUAUAAAUCAAUGUAGAAUUCUUCAUAAUAGAUCUAUCAUUUUGUUUCAUUUCUAUUGUGAAAAAAUCCUUUACAGGACUUUUUUUUUUUUGAUCUUAUUGUGUAAUUGAUGAAUAAAUCUCACCAACUUGUUUAUUUAAUAUAGGAAACUGAGCAACUCAGAGAAGCAAUUCAGAAAGAAAUUCAUAGGAUCGAGGUACUCUCUCUCUCUCUCUCUCUCUCUCUCUCUGUUACAUGAACUUCUUGCGUACAUAUUGGUAUAUUAUUACUUUUGCAGUCAAUGUCUUCUAAAUCCUUUCUUCUUUUGGAAAUUUGUCCAUUUCUUUGAAAAACAUCAGCAAGCAUGGCCUGAUUCCUGGGCUCCUGCAAUGGAAAACAAGCGUGGCAAGCCUGACCAUGUUGAAAUACCUAAAGAUGGGACUGAUGAGUGGGAAAUUGAUGUCAAGCUACUUAAAUUCGGGAACAAAAUGGCAUCUGGAUCAUUUGGUGAUCUGUAAGUUUUCCUUGCAUAGAAUAUUCUUUAUGUCAUUCUCCAGUAACAUUACUACAUGUUUUAAAUUUUAACUUCUUUCUAGUUAUCGGGGUACAUACUGUAGCCAGGAUGUUGCCAUCAAAGUACUCAAGCCUGAACGCACAAAUAUGGAUAUGCUGCGGGAAUUUGCUCAGGAAGUGUAUAUCAUGAGGUUGGUUAGAAAAGAGUGCUUUAACUUUUACAGUAUUGUAAUUUAGUUUUUCUCUAUUUAGCACCUACUCCUUCCUCACUUGACAAAGAACAACUGGUCCUGUGACAUGCUAAUGUAGUUUUACACUGGUGUGAAACCAUAAAUUAACCUUCAAACAUCUUAUAUUUUCUUGUAAUUUGGUUUGAAGAACUAAAUACGCCAUGUCUUUCCCGCAUGAAAUUAUUUGCUUGAAUCCUUUUUUUUUUGAACUUCAACUGCCUAAGUUUUCAUGUAAGCUUCUAUUGUUUUCAGAAAAGUUCGCCACAGGAAUGUUGUGCAGUUUAUUGGUGCAUGUACCAAACCUCCGAGCUUAUGUAUUGUUACAGGUAGGGUCAUAGAAAUACUUAGGCUAGCGGUUAGCAGAUCUGUCAUUCCAUGUAAUGCGGUGCUGAUAAAUCUUCUCUCUUGCUGGUAGUUGGUGCUGAGGAUUUUCUUUUUUUUCCUAUUUUGUGUAUUAUCCACAGAAUUUAUGCAAGGGGGCAGUGUGUAUGAUUACCUCCAUAAAAGAAAAGGUAGUUUCAAGCUUCCAGCUUUAGUAAGAGUUGCGAUUGAUAUAUCAAAAGGAAUGAGCUACUUGCACCAAAACAACAUCGUCCACCGAGAUUUGAAGGCUGCAAAUCUCCUUCUGGAUGAAAAUGAGGCAAGUGAUUUAGCAACGUGCUGUUGUUAGUAUAUGUGGCACACAUUGAUGUAGGAUCUAAACCUAGCAAUUAGUAUAUAAGAGAAUUCUUGAAAUUGAAAUUAUAAGGACUUGUCACAGGAAGAUGAAGGAACGAGUUUUUCAUGGUAAAUGAUUUGUUUACUUAUCUAAAAAUUAUCUAUUUAAUGUUAAUGUUUUAUAUUUGAUGAUCUGUUUGGGUUCUUUUCCCUUUUUAUUACUGGGUUCAAUGUACCUUCUUUUUACAAUUUUUAUCCCCCUCAGUUUCUUUCUCUGGGCAUCUAUCCUGUUACUAAUUAUAAUUUGGAUCAGAUUAUUUGGAUGCAUCUGACCUCAAAUAAAUCAUUCAUUGGCCAGGUUGUUAAGGUUGCUGAUUUUGGAGUUGCACGAGUCAAAUCUGAAACAGGGGUUAUGACUGCAGAAACUGGAACAUAUCGUUGGAUGGCACCUGAGGUAAUAUUUCUAUUUCAAGUAUCUAUAUUUUCCCAGUUAUAUGUGUCAUAAAUUAUGAGAUUAUGUAUCAAUUUAGAGGCAAGAAUCUUACUGGUUUGUGGUUUGGUUUCACUUAGGUCAUAGAGCACAAGCCUUAUGACCACAAGGCUGAUGUGUUUAGCUUUGGAAUAGUGAUGUGGGAGCUGCUUACAGGAAAGGUAAUUUCACCAUAUUCGUAAAGCCAUGCCUGUCAUCAACUAAAGUAAGUCAUUUUUAGAGUCUAUACUUACAAAAUAUCUUUUAUUGAGACAGAUUCCAUAUGAAUACCUAACACCACUACAAGCAGCAGUUGGUGUAGUUCAGAAGGUAAGCGUCCUCUUUGAACUUACUAAUUCUCAGAACCCAAAAUUAUUUCACAAUCAACUGAUGCAAUUUUUAUUUGUGCAAAUAUUUGAGCUCUGUUAUGUGGGAGAGUGCUCUAAAACAAAUGAGAGGCUAGAUUUGUUUUAUACUACUAGAUACGGGUUCAGAAAGGUUUUAUCUAGUUUCGUCAUUUGUGACAUGCUAGUCGCUAAUUGCUAUGCAUGCUGGGAGGGCACAAUUGUAAUUCUGGCAAGUAGAUACGCUUGAAGAAACUAAAAAUAUCUCAAUUAGUUCUUGUUUGCAAUAAGAUCAAAACUGCAAAUCUCUCUAGAAAUGGUGCCAAUAUUAAGCUUGAGUAGGAUUAGGACAUCUGGAACUUAAUUAUGGAUGCUUGGUUAACCAACUUGGGAUCAUCAAAGCAGCCCAGUUUUGAUCAGACAAUGUGCUCGUUGGUGGCUUAAAACUAUCAGGAAUUGGUAAAUCUAGAAAUACUGAGAUUAGUAUUCCAUUAGAGUGCCAAUACCUAAUGAGGAUUAAUGAAAAGGGUGCUCAAGGUCGACCCUUAAAUUAGCUUCUAAGCUAGUGCAAUAGUUCUGAUCUACAAUACCUCAGAUGUUAUAUUUCAAGAAGAAUCUGUACUGGUUUCUAUUAGAUUGCCGAGAGUGUGCUAAGAAUUUCACAAAAUUACUAGCAUCACUUGCGUGUGCUCAGCUAGUUCACAACAUGGGCACGUUUUCCUAUAAUCAUUAGAAAAUUGCUUCUUAUCUGCUUUCUCUACAGGGCCUUAGACCUCUGAUUCCAAAGGACAUCCAUCCUAAACUUGCUCAUCUACUUGAGGAGUGCUGGCAACAAGACCCUAGUAAAAGGCCAGAGUUUACUGAACUAUUGGCGACUCUUCAACAGAUUGCCAAGGAGGUUAGUAUAUUGGAUUUUACUAUCGUGCCAUCAAUUACUACUGUAGCUAACUACCUAGUGUUCUAAUCAAUAAAUAUAUGGAACAGAUUGAUGAGCAUGCGGAUCACCACAAGGAAAAAUCAAGGUUUCUUUCAGUUCUAAGGCGUGGCCAUUGAAGUUGGAAUGCUGUCCGAUGACUCCAAUCUGCAUGUGUGUUGAUCUCUUGCAGAAAUUCUAGUACCUCCGAUGAGGUACACAAUUUCAGUGUACAGUAUUUUAUUUUAAUAACUUUGUUAUUUAAUCGAGAAUCCCAAAUGUCAGGUUGCAAUUCGUUUUUUGUUAUCAACAUGUUCUUCCAUUUCUGUGCUGUGAUUUGUUAGUUUUUUCUCAUUGACAAGUAUGUACAGUAGGAAAAGAGUUACGUAUUUUCAGCACAUAUGUUACUAAACAGUUUAAUUUUCCACAUAAGAAGUGAUAACAUAACUCAGUUGUUUGUGUUAAUCUUUUUGUCGUUAUGAGAGAACUUUUGUUGGUUUUGCAUCUUUCAAUGAGCUGUGAUAUUUUACUAAGGUUUUCUUGUAGGUUUUAUGUGUUUGACGCAAAGGGUCAUAAAAUUAGCGUGUCCAAUCUCAUAUUCGGGUGCACAAUAUCCGCAGCUCUGUACGCAAGAUUUUUUGCGACUGCAUGGUAGAAUAAUUUCCUGCAUAAAAAAAAUUCUGUGCACGGAACUAUAUAGAAAAAUCACACCCUUUUCCCAUAGUUCUUGCACAAAUUCCUACUGCGAACUCAAACCAAUUAUGAUUUGUCCACCCAAAUACGUGACAUUAAUGUCAAGACACUUCCCCUAGAGUACUGAUUUUUCUCAGUAACUAUUUACUCUGGGCAAGUAAAACGAAAGAGAUCUAUGAGGCAAAUUACCGAACACCUAGAGAACAAAAAUGGGCCCAACCCCAUAAGGUGUUUGUCAUCGGCAUGAUGGCGAAAUAUAAUGAUGAGCGCACAAACAGAAACGUAAUAGACGAAUAUAAAGUAGACAAAUCAUAGAAAAUAGAAAAUAAAAUGAACACAAAAAUUUACGUUAAAAAACUUUUUGUAGGAAAAAAUUAUGGGCAGAGGAGAAAAAAAGUUUAUUAUGUGAAAAAGAGAAUACAAUAUUAUGAAGAUUGCAAUAUGCUUCAUUGCAUUUAGGGCAAAAGUGGAGAAGAAAAUUUCUAAACGGGUUCUUUUUAACGGAUCCGCUGCCUACCACAUGCAUUCUUUUUUUUUUUAUAAUUUAUUUUUUGAAAAAAAAAUUAUCGCACCAUAAAAUUAUCGAUGAGUCGAAGGCUAAAACUGAAAUCGAUUACAAAAUUUGGAGACACAUCUAACAGUUUUAAUGCAAUAUUAUCCAGUAAGAUCAAUAUGAUACAAAGCUAAGUUUAUUUCUAAAAGAAAUAGAUAAAGCGGAUAAUAUGCUAUUUUUCUCUUAAAAAAAAAAAAACAUACGCAACAAAACAAUCAUUUUGUGCCAAGUUAGAUGCAGAAAAGCUCAAUUAAGGAUAAUUUGAUAAUCGCACACAAUAUGAAGAUAUUUGACCUGAUGUUGCAAAUUAUAUUUGUAAUAAAUGUGACAGAGAAAACUUUCUCAAAACUAAUUGUGAUCUCUUUCCAUUCAAGAACAUGAAAUUACCAUCAGCACAUUGCACCAACAUCUGUGAUUACUCUUUUAGUUACUAUUUUCCCCCCAGCAAGAAAAACAAAAGAGAUCCAACACCCUCAGAGGCAAAUUGCCGAACAUCUUAGAGAACAAAAAAAGGCCACACCCGUAAGGUGUUCGACCUCGGAACCGUGGCGAAAGACAAUGAAAAAAAUGGCUUCACUCACCCAAUUUCUUGUGGAGAUUCGGGGGAACCCACCAAAGCGUCGGCCAUGGAGUAUACACUCUGCACUCACCCUCGAUGCUGCGCACUCUGCACUCAAGCUCGAUGCGGCGCCGGCCCACAAUGACGUUCUUGAGCUGGAACUGCCAAAUGUUUGCAGUGUAGUUAUUGCGUGGAUCUUCCGAAGUAUGCUGAUAGAUUUCCGUGAGGUAGACGCUAGUGCCUUCGAAUCCAGGGACAUGCGUUGACGCCACCGACAUUGAGUUGCAUUGCCCCAAGAACCAGAUCCGGCCGCCGAUAUCUGCGGGCACCACCGUUACCUUGUCGGGCAAUGUGCUGAAGUCGAGCCCACAAAAUGUAAAUCUGCCUACUUUUCCUGGGGUAAUAAAAUUCACCAUAACCAGCAACACAUUCCCCGCUGAUUUGACCAAGAAUGGCGUUCCCAAAACCGGCAAUUUGCGCACUCUCGUGAAGAAGCUGCCGCCGCCGCCACUGCUGCUGCCCCCGUCGGUUGCUGAGGCGAACUCGAAGAUGGCGCAGUCUCCGUUGGGGCCGAUGGCGAAGCAGCGGCGGUCUCUGUAGAAUAUGAUUUCUUGGGGAAUGAACUUGGGGUGGUCGCGGAUGGUCCAGAGGCGGUCACCGCUCCCCCAGGUCAAGCAGCGGGAUGUCGCUGUGUCGACGAAGAGGGCCACCAAGAAGUCGCGGUCGGCGGAAGGGUCGGAGGAUAAGAUGGCUCGGCGGAUGAAAAAGUGGUGCUCGAACAGCAGAUUCCUCAUGAAGGGGUCGGGGGAGGUGAGGCCGAUGGUGCCGUCGAGGGGAGGGAGUCGGAUCGUGUCGCCCGUGACGGGGUUGCGGAGGACAAGGUUAAAAUCGGGAAAGAGGAGGAAGAGCCACCCGUAGCAGGAGCCGAUGCAGACGCUCUCAUGGGCGUCGGCGAGGUGGCGGAGGGCGAAGGUGCGAUUGGUGGUGAGGGAGAAGAAGGCGGGGUAGGCGGGAUCAUCAGCGCGGCAGCGGCUAAAGAAAGGGAGGAGGAAAGGGAACUGCGGGGGGAGGCGGUGCGGGCCGGGCACGGUGGCGGGGAGCGCGGCUCUCCAACUCCGGCACACGCCGCGGAGGGUGGCGUAGGUGGCGGCGGAGGUCACGUGCUUGGAAGCAACGUCGAUGAGGAUGUCGGUCGUAAAGUGCGACCAACUGUUGUAGGUUGCCCUCCUUCUCUUUGGAUCACGAGUCUCCAUCCUUGGCGCCUAUUAACUAACUGAGAUUCGAAAAGAGGGGGAACGGGGACUACAUUGAGUAGGUCUUGUGUGCUAUUAGGAUGCUAUUAGGAGCAUGAAGGCUUCCGUGUUUCUAAAUCAUUUUUAAUGAUGGAGCUUACGAAUCGACGAUCGGCUCCGUUAAACUUGAUCUAGCAUAUUUAAAGUAUCUAGAAAAUAAAUUUUGUAAUUUUUCGAUAUCAUUACCUAACGAUCGAAAGGGUUCAAAAUCAAAGGCUGAAAAUAAAAAUCUCACAAAAAGUGGUGAUAUAGUAUUAAAAUUUUCGAUCAAACAUAUUGAUCUUGCUAUAAAUAGUAUAAAGAAUUUUCUAUCAAAAUUUUAUCUGAUUUGAAUACUUCUACAUCGUUAAAUUUGCAAACGGUAUACAUCAACCAUUAAAAAUUAUUGAUUUUAAACCCUUUUGAUCGAUAGGUAAAUAAUAUCGAAAAACCGCAAAAUUUAUUUUGUAGAUACUUCAAACAUGCUAGAUCAAUUCUAACGGAGCCGAUCGUCGAUUCGAAAACUCCAUCAUCAAAAACAAUUUAGGAGCACGGAGGGCUCCGUGCUCCUAAUAGCACACAAGACCUACUAUAUAUAUAUAUAGAGUUGAGCUAGAAUACUCUCGAUAGUAAACGGGGCAUUUUACUAUCGAGUUGUUUUCGAUGAUAAAGCUUCCAAAUUGACGAUCGGCUCCGUUGAACAUGAUCUAUACCACUUAAAGUGUUUAGAAAUCAAAUUUCAAAUCUUUUCGACAUCAUUUGCCUAAUGAUCAAAGGGAUUCAAAAUUUGUAAUUUUAAUGGUGGAUAAGAGACGUUUUUUCGUUUAACGGUGUAAAGAUAUCCAAAUCAAUUGAAUUUUUGUUAGAAAAUUCUUUAAACUAUUUAAAACAAGAUCUAUACUCUUGAUCUUGAUUACAAGACUGCCUAUCGAUCAUUUUUAAAGAAUAUUCAUUUUCCACAAUUCAUUUUUUGUUCACUAGAUGAUAAAAGAACAAUAUCAAAAGUGCGUGAAAUUUGAUUUCUAAGAGUUUAAAUGGUUUAGAUCCAUAUUUAACGGAGCCGAUCGUCAAUUUGGAAGCUCUAUCAUCGAAAACAACUCGAUAGUAAAAUGCUCGUUUACUAUCGAGAGUAUUCUAGGCUCAUCUCUCUCUCUCUCUCUCUCUCCUCUAUAUAUAUAUAAUAUAUAUAUAUUAUAUAUAUAGAGAGAGGAGAGAGAGAGAGAGAGAGAGAGAGAGAGAGAGAGAGAGAGAGAGAGAGGAGUCUAGCUAUGGUGCUUACAAAAGCACCAAGCACUUGGUGCUUGUGAAUUUUUUACCAUUAAAUCUACGCUUUUAAUCAUUUUACCCGUUAGAUUAUACUAUUUAACCAACUAAACACUCAACUCUAGGGGGCCUACAUCAUUCUAUACCGCACAUCACUUAAUUCAAGGCCGAAAACUUACAAGCAACAAUAACUCGGUACUUUUAAAAGCAAUAGGACUUAAUUAUAUAUAAUAUAUAUAUAUAUAUAUAUAUAAUAUAUAAUUAUAUAUAUAUAUAUAUAAUAUAUAUAUAUUAUAUAAUAUAUAUAUAUAUAGUUCGGGUACUAUACUAUCGAUAGUACUAAACCCUUGAUACUAUUGAGUUUUCUACUAUUAGAACUCUACCCUUUGAUCAUUUCCAAUCGUUAGAUUAUACUAUUAAACCAACCACGUACUCAACCCUAGGGGACCACUAUCAUUUAACGGGGACCACUAUCAUCCUAACUGCACAUCUUUUCAUCCCAACGGCAAAAACUCAAUAAUAUCAAAGGCGUUUGAUACUAUUGAUAGUAGCAUAAUUUUAUAUUAUAUACUAUAUAUAUAUAUAUAUAUAUAGAGAGAGAGAAGAGAGAGAGAGAGAGAGAAGAGAGAGAGAGAGAAGAGAGAGAGAAGAGAAGAGUUCAGCUGCUAGAGCAGCUGCUGUACUCUAAGGAGCACGGAGGCCACCGUGCUCCUGAGCCGUUUCGAUGAUGAAAUUUUCGAAUCGACGAUCGUCUCCGUUAGACUUGAUCUAGCGGCAUUUGAAGUUUCUAGAAAUAAUUUUGCGAUUUUUUGAUAUCAUUUACCUAGUGAUCGAAAGAUUCAAAAUCCAUAAUUUUUAAUGGGUGAUAUCUGCCGUUUUCCAAGUUUAACGGUGUAAAUAUUCAAAUCAGAUGAAAUUUUGAAACAAAAUUCUUUAUACUAUCUACAAAAAAAUCAAUAUUUCUGAUAAAAAAUUUUAGUGCUAUAUCACCACGUUUUAUGGAAUUUUUAUUUUCAGUCGUUAAAAUUAUGUGAUUUUGUGAAUCCUUUCGAUUGCUAGGUAAAUGAUAUCGAAAAAUCGCAAAUUAUUUUCUAGAAACUUUAAAUACGCUAGAUCAAGUUUAAACAGAUGUCGAUCGUCGCUUCGGAAACUCUAUCAUCGAAAAUGUCAGGAGCACGGAGGCCUCCGUGCUUCCUGAGAGCAAGCAGCAGGCGCUCCCAGCUACAUAUCUUUUAUGAGUAUUGACUCCCUUAUACUUAUAAGUUUUCGGUUCUUAGUUAUUCCAUGAAUAUAUCCAUCCGUUAGAUUAUACUAUUUAACCAACUAUCUACUAAACCUAAGGACCACUAUCAUUCUAAGUGGGAACCACCAUCAUCUAACCACACAUCCAUCAAUCAACGUUAAAAUUUAUGAUACAAGGGGUCUAUACUUAUAAGAGUAUAGUAACCAGCAUAUAUUAUAAUAUAUAUAUAUACUCUAUAUAUUAUAUAUAUAGUAUAUAUAUAUAUAUAUUAUAUAUAUAUAUAUAUGAACUAGCUAAUAUACUAUUAAUAGCACACAGUUAUUGGUGUAACAGUUUUUCGCACAUUGGAUUAAGAGAUGUGCGUUUAUGAUGAUGUGGGCCCCCUAGGCUGAGUAAGUGGUUUGUUGAUAGUAUGAUUUAACAGGUGAAAAUGAUCAAAACGGUAGAUCUCUACGGCGGAAAACUUGGUAGUACAGUAGCUUCGUGCUAUUAAUAGUAUAGUAGCCGACCUCUCUCUCUCUCUCCUCUCCUCUCUCUCUCUCUCUUCUCUCUAUAUUAUAUAUAUAUAUAUAUAUAUAUAUAUAUAUAGAGAGUCCGGCUACUAUACUAUUAUGAGUACGAUCGCCUCGUACUCAUACGUUGUUUUUGAUGAUAGAGCUUCCGAAUCGACGAUCCACACCGUUAAACGUUUAUCGCAGAACAUUUGAAACAUCUAGAAAUCAAAUUUCUAAUUUUUCGACAUUAUUUAACUUACGAUCAAAAGCUCACAAAAUUGACAUUUUUAACGGCCGUAUGGAAUACUUGCUAGUUUAACGGUGCAAAGAAUCCGAAUAGGUUGAAUUUUUGAUAGAAAAUUCUAUUCCGUACCUAAUAAAGAUCAAAAACUUGAUCUUAAAUUGAAGGAUCCGAUCAUCCAUUUAAGACAUCGUUCGAUUUGACGCGUUCAUUUUAUGCCGCUUGAUAGAGUUAUUAUGAUUUCGAAAAUUAACGAAAUUUAUUUUUAGAAGUUUUAAAUACUCUAGAUCAUUAUUUAACGGAGUGGAUCGUCGAUUCGGAGUUCGCUAUCAUCAAAAACAAACUUAUGAGUACGAAUGGUCCAAUACUCAUAUAGUAUAGUGGCCUAGCCUACUAUAUCUAUCUAUAUAAAUAUAUAUAUUAUAUAUAUAUAUAUAUAUAUAUAAUAUAUAUAUAUAAUUUGUGAACCCAAAGGAAGCCUCCUUGGGUUUGGAGGGCUUCCGGUUGGGAGUUUGGGACCACUUUUUUCUUUUCUCAAUUUUUCUUACAGUAAGUGUAAAAUUUUAUCGCAUGAAUCAACCCUAUGUUUUAAUAAUAAAAUUAAAAUUUCAUCUAAUAAAUAUUAACAUUUUUUUUUCUACAUCAAAUAUAAAAUUUUAUUACGUUGAGAAAUCUUAUUUUUUAAUAAUUAAGAUAACAAAAUUAAAAUUUCAUCUAAUUGGGAACCCAAAAAAGACCUCCCCUUAUAGGGUUGUGUGGCCCACAAAUUUUUUUAGAAUUUUUUUUAGGAUUAAUUGUAUAGUGCUUCCUAAACUUUCCACUAUUUUUUCUUGUUCCUAAAUUUUUUCAAGCAUCUAAAUUUCAUGAUAAAAUAACAACGGUUAAAAAAUAUUUUAGAAUUAACGAAAUUAUCAUGCCAUCGCCCAUUUAACUUUUUUUUUGCAUGCCAAUUUUGAUCUUUAAAUUUUGCAUGCUUUUCACUUUAGUCCUCAAAACAUAUAUGAAUUGGCAACACUAAAGAAGGCCUAUUCUCAUUUUGGAGAGUUGUGGGGUCCACACAAUUUUUUUAAGAAUUAAUUUAUCUAAUAAUAAUAUAAUAAUAUUAGAUUAUUUAUUUGGUAGUUGAAUUUUUUUACAGUGUAAAAAAUAUCUAUUUUGAUUUCGAAUGCCUUUUUAUUAAUCUUUUUUUUUUGUGCUUUCUGAUAAUUACCUACUGAUUUUUUCACUAAUCUAAAAUUUUGGAAUCAAAUACUUUAUUAGUUGUAUUACCUACUGAUUUUUUGUUUUAUUUUAUACUAAUUUAUUUAUUUUACUUAUUAGAUUUAAAUAUUUUUAGAAAGAAAUCUACUUUAAUUUCAUCUUUAAUUUUUUAUUAUUCAAUACUGAGAUAAAUAAUAUUUAAAAAUAUUAAUGCAUAAUAAAAAAAAUAAUAUUAAUAAUUAUAAUAAUUUAUUAUUGUAUUAUCUUCCAGCCGCAUCGCGCGGGACACCUUAACUGAUAUCUAUAUAUCUAUAAAUAGAGAGGAUGCAACGCGGAGAGAGGGAUGGUUUAUCUCUACUGAUCAUCACAUAGACUAGCACAAAUUUCAAAGUAGAUGGGUGUAACUGUCUCACGUUGCAAAUCAUCCUCACUAAAUUUUUGUUCAUAAAAAAAAAACUAUUCCAUGAAAAUAUGAUCAUGAAAUCAAGAAAAUUAAGUCAACUCUAUUUACUUGUGUUAAAUUAUGUAAAGCUUAAGCCGGUAGAGAAUGAUAUUUUUAUAUUUUUAUAUUUAACAUUUCAUUCCACAUUUAGGUUUGAGACUUUUUGAUAGACUCAUAACGUGGACUUGAAUUAAAUAUGAGGUAAUCAAUUAUUCUAAGAGCUCGGCAUGGCUCGAACUCAGAAUCUCAUACUCCGAUAUCAUAUUAACGUUAUUCUUUCAAAACUUAAGUGUUUACAGAAUAACAGUUGUUUUAUAUAAUUUAAGAUCGUAUCAGAGCCAGCAGUCAUGGAUUCAAUUUUUUUUUAUGUUGCGAAUUUGUGCAUGUUUUGGAAAGAGAUUGUUGGCUUAAAGAGGCCAACAAGCUGAGUUAGGCCGAGUCUAGUUCAAAAUGGCGAGAGGUUAGGUUGGGUCGAGUCACAAUCGAAAUUCAUAAAUAUUUUGGCUGUCCGCUUUAAAUAAAUUAGUUGCGUAUUUCUAACUGUUCGAAUUUUUAGAAUUAAUGAAUAACGCCAAUGAUCCUAUAAAUCAAUCUCCACCUACUUAAACAUCUGAAAAAUAAUAAUUAUUUUACAUAAUUUAACAACUUGUGUCUUAUAUUGCAAAUAUAAUUCUUCUGUAAUUUCGGAUGACCAUAUUAAUUGGUGAAGUAAUUUAACAACUUGUGUCUUAUAUUGCAAAUAUAAUUCUUCUGUAAUUUCGGACGACCAUAUUAAUUGGUGAAGUAAUUUCAGAUGCCCAUCUUAAUUCCUUCAACCAAAUUUUCUCACAAGAAAAUAAGGGAAAAAAAAAGGCGAAAAUGGGAAAAAAAAAAGGCGAAAAAGAAUUGGUGAAGUAAUUUCAGAUGACCAUCUUAAUUCCUUGAACCAAAUGUUCUCCCAAGAAAAUAAGGAUAAAAAAAAGGCGAAAAAGAAAAGUCACUAAUUUUGGUCCUAUUAUGAACAACGAAAUCCCAAGUGAAUCGUUGUUAGCAUUUUUUUUUUAAUUUGAUACAAUAAAAUUAAUUUGCAUGUCGAGAUAAUUCCUCGCUUCUCUCCUCACGUUGGGGACAAUCCCCAACAUGUAAAACUAGUACACCGCGUGGAUGCCGCGGAGGAGGGGGAACGGGGAGCAGGCAAAUGAGCGAGCCCGCUCGUGUUCGGUUGUUCAACUCAGUAUUUGGCUUGUUCGAGCUCGGCCUGUAAUAAAUGAGCCAAACUCGAACCAAAAUCAUAGGCCGUAUGAUGUUAGAAAAUUAAUCGCUUACGGCUUGAGCUCACCCGAUUCAAGAACAUGGCAUUACCAUCAACACGUUGCACCAACAUCUGUGAUUACUUAUUUAGUCACUAUUUUCUCCUGAGCAAGAAAAACAAAAGAGAUCCAACACCCUCAGGGGCAAAUUGCCGAACAUCUAGAGAACAAAAAAGGGCCACACCCGUAAGGUGUUCGACCUCGGAACCGUGGCGAAAGACAAUGAAAAAAAUGGCUUCACUCACCCAAUUUCUUGUGGAGAUUCGGAGGAACCCACCAAAGCUGCAGCCACGGAGAAUACACUCUGCACUCACCCCCGACGCUGCGCCGGUGCGCGAUAACGUUCUUGAGCUGAUACUCCCAAAUGUUCGCAGUGUAGUUAUUGCGCGGAUCUUCCGAACUGUACCAAUUGAUCUCAGCGAGGUAGAUGCUAUCGCCUUCGAAUCCGGGGAAAUGCGUCGAUGCCACCGACAUCGAGUUGCAUUGCCCCAAGAACCAGAUCUGGCCGCCGAGAUCAAAGCCUCUGGGCACCACCAUUACCUUCUCCGGCAAUCUGCUGAAGUCGAGCCUACAAAAUAUAAAUUCGGUUUCUUUUCCUGGGGUAGUAAAAUUCACCAUAACCAGCCACACAUUCCCCGCCGAUUCGACCAAGAACGGCGUUCCCAAAACCGGCAAUUUGGGCAUUCUCGUGAAGAAGCCGCCACCGCCACUGCUACUGCCGCCGUCCGUUGCUGAGGCGAAGUCGAAGAUCGCGCAGUCUCCGUUGGGCCCAAUGGCGAAGCAGCAGCGGUCUCUGUAAAAUAUGAUUUCUUGGGGAACGAACUUGGGGUGCUCGCGGAUGGUCCAGAGGCGGUCACCGCUCCCCCAGGUCAAGCAGCGGGAUGUUGCUGUGUCGACGAAGAGGGCCACCAAGAAGUCGCAGUCGGCGGAAGGGUCGGAGGAUAAGAUGGCUCGGCGGAUAAAAAAGUGGUGCUCGAACAGCAGAUUCCUCAUGAAGGGGUCGGGGGAGGCGAGGCCGAUGGUGCCGUCGAGGGGAGGGAGUCGGAUCGUGUCGCCCGUGACGGGGUUGCGGAGGACAAGGUUAAAAUCGGGAAAGAGGAGGAAGAGCCACCCGUAGCAGGAGCCGAUGCAGACGCUCUCAUGGGCGUCGGCGAGGUGGCGGAGGGCGAAGGUGCGAUUGCUGGUGAGGGAGAAAAAGGCGGGGUGGGCGGGAUCAUCAGCGCGGCAGCGGCUAAAGAAGAGGAGGAGGAAGGGGAGCUGCGGGGGAAGGCGGUGCGGGCCGGGCACGGUGGCGGGGAGCGCGGCUCUCCAACUCCGGCACACGCCGCGGAGGGUGGCGUAGGUGGCGGNUGAUGUUAGAAAAUUAAUCGUUUACGGCUUGAGCUCACCCGAUUCAAGAACAUGGCAUUACCAUCAACACGUUGCACCAACAUCUGUGAUUACUUAUUUAGUCACUAUUUUCUCCUGAGCAAGAAAAACAAAAGAGAUCCAACACCCUCAGGGGCAAAUUGCCGAACAUCUAGAGAACAAAAAAGGGCCACACCCGUAAGGUGUUCGACCUCGGAACCGUGGCGAAACACAAUGAAAAAAAAUGGCUUCACUCACCCAAUUUCUUGUGGAGAUUCGGAGGAACCCACCAAAGCUGCGGCCACGGAGAAUACACUCUGCACUCACCCUCGACGCUGCGCCUGUGCGCGAUAACGUUCUUGAGCUGAUACUCCCAAAUGUUCGCAGUGUAGUUAUUGCGCGGAUCUCCCGAACUGUACCAAUUGAUCUCAGCGAGGUAGAUGCUAUCGCUUUCGAAUCCGGGGAAAUGCGUCGACACCACCGACAUCGAGUUGCAUUGCCCCAAGAACCAGAUCCGGCCGCCGAUAUCAAAGUCUGCGGGCACCGCCGUUACCUUGUUGGGCAAUGUGCUGAAGUCGAGCCUAUGAAUCCAAAAUUCAGCUUCUUCUCCUUGGGGAGUAAAAUUCACCGUGACCAGCCACACAUUCCCAGCCGAUUCGACCAAGAACGGCGAUCCCGAAACUGGCAAUUUGGGCACUCUCGUGAAGAAGCUGCCACCGCCGCCACCGGUUGUGGAGGCGAAGUCGAAGAUCGCGCAGGUUCCGUUGGGGCCGAUGGCGAUGCAGCGGUGGUCUCUGUAGAAUAUGAUUUCUUCGGGGACGAACUUGGGGUGCUCGCGGACGGUCCAGAAAUUGUCGCCACUCCGCCAGGUCAAGCAGCAGGACGUUGGUGUGUCGGAGAAGAGGGCCACCAAGAAGUCGUGGUUGGCAGACGGGUCGGAGGAUAAGAUGGCUCGGUGGAUGAAAAAUUGGUGCUCGAACAGCAGAUUCCUUAUGAAGGGGUCAGGGGAGGCGACGAAUAUGGUGCCGUCGAGGGACGGAAGGCGGAUCGUGUCGCCCGUGACGGGGUUGCGGAGGACAAGGUUAAAAUCGGGAAAGAGGAGGAAGAGCCACCCGUAGCAGGAGCCGAUGCAGAUGCUCUCACGGGCGUCGGCGAGUUGGCGGAGGUCGAAGGUGAUAUUGGUGGUGAGGGAGAAGAACGCGGGGUGGGCGGGAUCAUCAGCGCGGCGGCGGCUAAAGAGGAGGAGGAGGAAGGGGAACUGCGGGGGGAGGCGGUGCGGGCGGGGCACGGUCGCGGGCAGCACGGCUCUCCAACUCCGGCACACGCUGCGGAGGGCGGUGUAGGUGGCGGCGGAGGUCACGUGCUUGGAAGCGACAUCGAUGAGGAUGUCGGUCGGAAGGUGCGACCAACUGCUNACAUCGAUGAGGAUGUCGGUCGGAAAGCGCGACCGAGAACUGUUAUGGAUUGCCUUUCUUCUCGUUGGAUCACCACACUCCAUCUUUGGCGCCUGCUAACUAACUGAGAUUCAAAAAUAGGAAGGAAACGUGGACUAGCUACAUAUAUAUACGAAUAGAGAGGAUGCAUUGCACGAAGAGAGAUAGCUACCGUUCAUCACGUAAACUAGCACAAAUUCCAAAGUAAGAUGAGCGUUGGAUAUAACUGUGGACUAUUCCUACUAAAAUUGGUUUGUUCAGAUUUUUUUUUUAUUUUUUUUUUGUGAGAAAGAUAGCACGCUACCCGCUUCGUUUAUUUCAUUUAGAAAUAAACUUAGCUGGAUAUGUAAAUUAACUAAGAUUCGAACUUGGGUCUCGGGUACCAACUACCAAACCCUUUGCUACUUGCUAUAGGGACGGUCGGUGGUUUGUUCAGAUUCAAAAGAAUAAUAGGUAUUCUGUCCAUAGAAAUAUGAUCACGAAAUCAAGAACACAUUAAAUCAUAUAAUUAAAUUUCAACUUUAAAUUUAAACUAAAAUAAAAUUUUAAAACCAUAAGAUCAAAACUUAAAUAUAUUUGAAAUCAAAUCCAAAUUUGAUUGUUAAUUGCAAUAAUAAAUAGUAAAUAUAACAACAAUCUAAAAUUAUUUAGAUAAAAAAGAUAUAAAAUAAUGUAAUAAAAAAAAAGAUUAUCUUUAGGAAAAAAAUAAAUUAAAAACUUGUUUAGUUAUAUUAUUUGUUUUGCAUAAGAAAAUUUUUUUUUGGCUAUUCAAUCAUUUUUUUAAUUAAAUAUCGAGAUUAAAUUCUAAAAAAAUAUUCUUUUAUUUUUUUUUAAUUCCGUUUGUCAUUAUAAAAUUUUCUAUACAUUUUUAAUUCCAUUUGCCUAUAUAUAAAUUUAUAUUAUUAAAUAUUUAAUUAUAUAUAAUAUGUUUUUUAAUUAUAUGUGCAUGUAUUUUAAGCCAAUGGGAUAUUAUACUCACAUAAAUAAUCAUGCCGGCCCACAAAUACAAGUUGACAUCUCUUACAAUAUUAGAUAUGUCAAUAUAUAAAUUAUUAUUUUUAAUAACACACUAUCAUAUUUUAUGCAUUUAUCUUGUAUAUUUAACAAUCACAUAUUUUUGCAUCAAGCUUUAGAUCACUACUUUCCAUCUUUGGCGCCUUAACUGAUAUUCAAAAGAAGAGGGAAAGGGAGACUUGGGAAGUUGGGGUUGCACUGGAGGAAUAAAUAAUAAAAAAAAGUUAUUACAUUUUCAUUUAGGCCAAUUUGCAUAAAAAAUCCACUUAUUUUGGGGUUUUGCAAAAUCGGGCCACCUUUUUCCUUUUUGCAGAUUCGGUCCGCUUUUUCUGCCGCCUGACCAAAAUGCCCCUCCUAUACAAUAGCCUCCCGCGUAUUUCUUGACAUACGUAUACUGCCCUGCCGUACGGUCUGGCGCGCAUUNUAUUUUCUCAUUUAUCGUGAGUUAUUGUAUUAAAGAAUUAAAGCCAAACAGGAAACAGCGGGGUCGGCGAAUAGCGGGGGUGGAAGUGGUCCGGGUUCCGAGAAAUGACUGAGAUUGAACGGGUCAUUUAAUGCGCGCCAGACCGUACGGCAGGGCAGUAUACGUAUGUCAAGAAAUACGCGGGAGGCUAUUGUAUAGGAGGGGCAUUUUGGUCAGGCGGCGGAAAAAGCGGACCGAAUCUGCAAAAAGGAAAAAGGUGGCCCGAUUUUGCAAAACCCCAAAAUAAGUGGAUUUUUUAUGCAAAUUGGCCUUUCAUUUAUUGUAAUAGUAUAUUUGAAUUAGCAAUCGAUGCCAUUAAGUUUGAUUUAGACUGAAUGAAGUGCCUAAAAUUAAGUUUCAUAUUUAUGAUUAUUUAAUUGAUAUUCAAAUAAUUUUAAAAUUAAUAAUUUUUAAUAAUAUUAGAUAAAUAAUAUUAUAAAAUUAUAAAAUUAAUUUAUAUAGUUCAAAUAGGUUAAAUCAAAGUAUAUAUCCAAGCUUUGACAAAUAUAAAAAACUAAUUGUGAAUCGUGUAUGUUUCUGUGAGAACAAACUAAUUGGAUGAAAAUAAUUAACACCCCCAACACCACGAUGAGAAUAAAUGGCCUAACCUUUUUGUCAGCAAUUUGAUGGGUCGUCUGGACGGAUAGAAACAAUUCCAUUUUCCGGACAGCACCCUCCAACGCUAUCCGAUCUCUGGCUCGUGUUAAUCUAUUAACGAAGGCUUGGAACAAACUACUAUGAUAUGUCUUUAGCUUUCUGUACCUUACUUUUCUCUUUUUCUACUUCCUCCCUCCUCCCUUUUUUCUUUUUUUCGCUUCUUCUUACUAUUUUUUUAUCUGUUUUCAGAGGCCAAAGUUGCUUCCACUUUAUAUGUUUAGUUUAUUUUACUUAAUGAAUGAAAUAUGUAGCUCGCUACCUAUUUCUCAAAAAAGAAUCAUAUAUGUUUUGCGUAAACGGUACGAAUGAAAUAUGUAGCUCGCUAUCUAUUUCUCAAAAAAGAAUCAUGCAUGUUUCGCGUAAACCGUACCAAAAACAUAGCAUUACCAUCAACAACAUAUUGCUCCAAAACCUGUGGUUGCUCUUUUAGCAACUAUUUUUACAUUGCUCCAAACCUGUGAUUACUCUCUUAUUAGUACUAUUUAUCCCUGAGCAAGAAAAACAAAAGUUGUCCACUUCCUCAGAGGCAAAUUGCCGAACACGUAUUGAACUAAAGAAAAAAGGCCACACCCGUAAGGUGUUCGACCUCGGAACCGUACGUGGCGAAACACAAUGGAAAAAAUCGCUUCACUCACCCAAUUUCUUGUGGAGAUUCGGAGGAACCCACCAAAGCUUCGGCCACGGAGUGUACACUCUGCACUCACCCUCGAUGCUGCUCCGGCCCACGAUGACGUUCUUGAGCUGGAACUCCCAAAUGCUUGCAGUGUAGUUAUUGCGCGGAUCUUCCAAACUAUGCCGAUUGAUUUCCGUGAGGUAGAUGCUAUCGCCUUCGAAUCCAGGGAAAUGCUUCGAUGCCACCGACAUCGAGUUGCAUUGCCCCAAGAACCAGAUCCGGCCGCCGAUAUCAGAGUCUGCAGGCACCGCCGUUACUUUGCGGGGCAAUGUGCUGAAGUCAAGCCUAUGAAUCGUAAAUUCGCCUUCUUCUGCUGGGGUAGUAAAAUUCACUGUAACCAGCCACACAUUUCCCGCCGAUUCGACCAAGAACGGAGUUCCCGAAACUGGCAAUUUGGGCACUCUCACGAAGAAGCCGCUGAUGCCGCCGCCGCCACUGCUGCUGCCGCCGUUGGUUGCUGAGGCGAAGUCGAAGAUCACGCAGUCUCCGUUGGGGCCGAUGGCGAUGCAGCGGUGGUCUCUGUAGAAUAUGAUUUCUUCGGGGACGAACUUGGGGUGCUCACGGACGGUCCAGAGAUGGUCGCGACUCUGCCAGGUCAAGCAGCGGGAUGUCGCUGUGUCGACGAAGAGGGCCACCAAGAAAUCGCGGUCGGCGGAAGGGUCGGAGGAUAAGAUGGCUCGGCAGAUAAAAAAUUGGUGCUCGAACAGCAGAUUCCUUAUGAAGGGGUCGGGGGAGGUGACGAAUAUGGUGCCGUCGAGGGGAGGGAGUCGGAUCGUGUCGCCCGUGACGGGGUUGCGGAGGACAAGCUUCAUAUAGGGAAAGAGGAGGAAGAGCCACCCGUAGGAGGAGCCGAUGCUGAUGCUUUUAUGGGCGUCAGCGAGGUGGCGGAGGGCGAAGGUGCGAUUGGUAGCGAGGGAGAAGAAGGUGGGGUCGGUGGGAUCGUCAGCGCCGCGGUGGCUAAAGAGGAGGCGGAAGGGGAGCUGUGGGGGGAGGCGGUGCGGGCGGGGCACGGUGGCGGGGAGCGCGGCUCUCCAACUCCGGCAUACACCGCGGAGGGUGUGGCGUAGGUGGCGGCGGAGGUCACGUGCUUGGAAGCGACUUUGAUGAAGAUGUUGGCCGGAAAGUGCAACCAACUGUUGUAGGUUGCCCUUCUUUUCUUUGGAUCACUGGUUUCCAUCUUUGGCGCCUACUAGUACUAACUGACAUUCAAAAAGAGGAGGGUAAUGGGGAGUACAUACAUAGGAAUAGAGAGGGUGCAAUGCAGGAAAAAUUUUAGAAUGCAACAGGUAUAUUGGUAAUUUGGCGUGACAAAUCAAUCAAAUGUAUAUUUUUAGGGAUAUAGGUCCCAUCAUAAUUGUAAAAAAAUAUUUUUAUUAUGCUUUUGUUUGAAAAGAAGGAAUGUGAUUGGCUUGUUAUUGAUGACAUUGUGCAAGUGUGACAGUGUAGAAUUCCUCGCAAUGCAGAAAAGCCCAGUUGGAAAUAAGAGGGCAGCGAAAACUUACAAGCUGAAUAGUCAACGUAUGUAGGAAUCAUAAUCGGAUCGGAUUACUUGUUUAACAAGCUUACAUGGACCGUCCUUGCCUCGAUAUUUUUUUCCAUGCCUAUGCCUCACGUUACGGAUCGGAUGCGUUGGAUACGGAUGAGAUGCGACGAAUGCCGAUCAAAGAGGUCUACCAGAGUCCAUUCUAUGUUCACACUCCAAAAUCCGAAAACAUAGGUGGAAAUCCCAUAGAGAAAUCAUAGAAAGGAAGAAGAGAGAAGAAGAAAGAUUUAUCGUGAAUUCUUUCGAAUUAGAUCAUAUUCGAUCAUCUCUCAUAGAAGAGAAAAGAGAAUAUAUUUAUAGAAUAACGAAACUCCUAAAUAUCCUAAAUCUCAUAAAGAGAUUAGGAUAAGGACUACAGUUAGGAUAUUCAUGAUAGAUAUACACUAUAACAUAUAUUUCUCAACUAAUAAAAAAUAUAUAAUUUAUUCUUAUCCUUAAUUUAUUAGGAUAAAUCUCAAUUCAUAUUUUAAGUAGAUUGGAUUAAAUUAAGAUCUGCCAAUGUUGACACACCACAUGGCAACAAGCCCAGAAGAGGGAUAAUUUAUAUCUACCAUUCAUGACAUAAACUAGCGCUAAUUUCAAAGUAGAUGGACGGUAUGUGUACCUGUUUCUCGUUGGAAAUUAUCCUCACUAAAUUUUAGUUCAGAAAAAAAAAAUCCAAAGAAAUACGAUCAUGAAAUCACGAAGAGCCGACCUCUAUUUACUGUGUUAAAUUAUAUAAAGCAAUUAUUCUUCUGUAGAAAUUUAACCUAUUAUAGAAUGAUAUUUUUAUAUUUUUAUAUUAAACAUUCUGUUUCACGUUUGAGCUGGAAAUUUUUUGAUAGGUCCAUAACGUGGACUUGAAUUAAAUAUGAGACAAUCAAUUAUACUAGAAGCCUGGUACGACUCGAAUUCGGAAUCUCAUGCUCUGAUAUCAGGUUAAAUAAUAAAGAUCUUGAAGAAUAAUGAUUGUUUUACAUAAUUUAAUUUGUGCAUAUACUGGAAAGGGAUUGUUGGCUUAAAGGGCCGAGUCUUGUUCAAAAUGGUGAGAGGUUUGAUUGGACCGAAUCAUGUUCGAAGUUGAGUAUGAUUGGUUAUGGACGUUUUAAGUAAAUUGGUUAUAUAUUUCUAACAAAUUAAAGUUUUGGAAUUAAUGAUUAGCGUCAACAGCCUGAUAAGUUAUUCUCUACUGGCUUAAGCUUAAAGAAUGAUGAUUAUUUCAUUUUUUUUUUUUUUUUGAGAAAUAGAUAGACAAGCUAUCUGCUUCAUUCAUUGAUAAAUGAACUAGGCGAACAGUAUGAAAGUAGCCGGGGCUUCCGAGGCGAGUCGAACAGCAAAGAAAACAAAAGGCGAAAAAAGACGGAAAAAAAAUUGAGGAAAAAGGAUUAAACAUAGCAUUACCAUCAACAACACAUAUGAAUCGUAUAUGUUUAGAGUAAAUCGUCCAAAAACAUAGCAUUACCAUCAACAACACAUUGCUCCAAAACCUGUGAUUGCUCUUUUAGCAACUAUUUUUCACAUUGCUCCAAACCUGUGAUUACUCUCUUAUUAGUUACUAUUUAUCCCUGAGCAAGAAAACAAAAAGAGAUCCACACCCUCAGAGGCAAAUUGCCGAGCACCAAGAGAACAGAAAAAGGUCACACCCGUAAGGUGUUCGACCUAGGAACCGCGACGAAACACAAUGAAAAAUAAAAUGACUUCACUCACCCAAUUUCUUGUGGAGAUUCGGAGGAACCUUGUUGAUGAAAAUUCAAAAUCCUAUAUAAAAUUCGUAAUCCUAUAUCUUAUUUUAAUUAUUAAUUACUUCUUUUAAUUUUAUUUUUUCUAUUUUUUUUUAUAAUUAUAUUUAUUGUGUUUUUAUUUAGUCCGCAAUGUGCGCGGACGUUGCGCACGUCCGGCUCCGUGCCCGUCCGCGUCAUGUGCGGGACUAAUUAUCGGCGGACGUUUUGCUUGAAACUAAUUAAGCGGAAGUGAACGUUGGGAUUCCCAACGUUCAACUCUACAACCUUCAUGCAUAUAUUUAUAUAUACAUCUACUGUGGUCAGUAGAGAGUGAUAUAUUAUCUUAUGCAUGAAGAAUAGUGAAUAGAAUUUUUUACUUUGAGUUUCCUUUUCAUAAGUUAAUUUUCUUCUGUUAAUCGCUGGGUGUUGAAAGAGUCUUCGUCAACCUCCUUCACGAUCGUGCUCGCAGGAGGAGGAAUUCCGGUCGUACCUUGGGGUGUUGUUCCCGGUUAAUCCCGCACGUAAGGACGGGAAUACGCCUUAGGGCAGUGCCUCGCACGCUUCCGGAUCAAUUAAAUAUUUAUUUGGAUUUGCAUUUAUCUGUAAGUUUGUAUUUAUUUAUUUUCAUAAUAAUAUUUAGUUAGAUUUAAAUCACAAUCAAAUUUCUGUGCGGUAUUUGUU